Molecule: ribosomal RNA, 253 nt
Filed under: uncultured bacterium
Lineage: Bacteria
Description: partial 16S ribosomal RNA
Rfam family: Bacterial small subunit ribosomal RNA
Source: RNAcentral
UACGUAGGAUGCAAGCGUUGUCCGGAAUUAUUGGGCGUAAAGAGCGCGCAGGCGGUUUGGAAAGUUGGACGUGAAAUUUUAGGGCUUAACCCUAAAGGGUCGUCCAAAACUCCCAGACUAGAGUGCAGGAGAGGAAAGCGGAAUUCCCGGUGUAGUGGUGAAAUGCGUAGAUAUCGGGAGGAACACCGAAGGCGAAGGCAGUGUCCUGGCGCGUAACUGACGCUGAGGUGCGAAAGCCAGGGGAGCGAACGGG